UACGGGGGGGGCCAGCGUUGUUCGGAAUUACUGGGCGUAAAGGGCUCGUAGGCGGCCAACUAAGUCAGACGUGAAAUCCCCAGGCUCAACCUGGGAACUGCGUCUGAUACUGGAUGGCUUGAAUCCGGGAGAGGGAUGCAGAAUUCCAGGUGUAGCGGUGAAAUGCGUAGAUAUCUGGAGGAAUACCGGUGGCGAAGGCGGCAUCCUGGACCGGCAUUGACGCUGAGGAGCGAAAGCCAGGGGAGCAAACGGG
This 253-nucleotide ribosomal RNA is filed under the name uncultured bacterium. RNAcentral describes it as "partial 16S ribosomal RNA". It matches the Rfam family "Bacterial small subunit ribosomal RNA", at positions 524 to 776 of the family's 1533-position model. The record is from RNAcentral.